This 255-nucleotide ribosomal RNA is filed under the name uncultured bacterium. Its description in RNAcentral is "partial 16S ribosomal RNA". It matches the Rfam family "Bacterial small subunit ribosomal RNA", at positions 524 to 776 of the family's 1533-position model. The record is from RNAcentral.
UACAGAGGUCCCGAGCGUUGUUCGGAUUCACUGGGCGUAAAGGGUGCGUAGGUGGUGAGGUAAGUCGGAUGUGAAAUCUCCGAGCUCAACUCGGAAAUGGCAUUGGAAACUACCUUGCUUGAGGGUUGGAGGGGGGGACUGGAAUACUUGGUGUAGCAGUGAAAUGCGUAGAUAUCAAGUGGAACACCAGUGGCGAAGGCGAGUCCCUGGACAACUCCUGACACUGAGGCACGAAAGCUAGGGGGAGCAAACAGG